RNAcentral lists this ribosomal RNA (664 nucleotides) under uncultured bacterium. RNAcentral's name for it is "bacterial SSU rRNA". It matches the Rfam family "Bacterial small subunit ribosomal RNA", at positions 9 to 687 of the family's 1533-position model. The record is from RNAcentral.
GAGUUUGAUCCUGGCUCAGAAUGAACGCUGGCGGCGUGCCUAAUACAUGCAAGUCGAGCGCCCCUUUCGUAGUACUGAUGAGAAAUCAUAAGUCUUGCGAUGGGGAGCGGCGGACGGGUGAGUAACACGUGGGAACAUACCCCAGACUGAGGGAUAAGCACCAGAAAUGGUGUCUAAUACCGCAUAACCUCUACGGAGAAAAGCUUCGGCGGUUUGGGAAUGGCCUGCGUUAGAUUAGCUAGUUGGUGAGGUAAAGGCUCACCAAGGCGACGAUCUAUAACUGGUUUGAGAAGAUGAUCAGUCACACUGGAACUGAGACACGGUCCAGACUCCUACGGGAGGCAGCAGUAGGGAAUCUUCCACAAUGGACGAAAGUCUGAUGGAGCAACGCCGCGUGCAGGAUGAAUGCCUUCGGGUUGUAAACUGCUUUUAUAUGUGAAGAUUUUGACGGUAACAUAUGAAUAAGGAUCGGCUAACUCCGUGCCAGCAGCCGCGGUCAUACGGAGGAUCCAAGCGUUAUUCGGAAUGACUGGGCGUAAAGAGUUGCGUAGGCGGUUUGUUAAGCGUGUAGUGAAAUUUCAGGGCUCAACCUUGAAACUGUUACACGAACUGGCAAACUAGAGUAUAUGAGGGGUAAUUGGAAUUCCCGGUGUAGGAGUGGAAU